CGUGUACGUACAAGCAGUGGGAGCACCUUUAUGGUGUGACUGCGUACCUUUUGUAUAAUGGGCGGGUGUGACUGCGUACCUUUUGUAUAAUGGGUCAGCGACUUAUAUUCUGUAGCAAGGUUAACCGUAUAGGGGAGCCGCAGGGAAACCGAGUCUUAACUGGGCGUUAAGUUGCAGGGUAUAGACCCGAAACCCGGUGAUCUAGCCAUGGGCAGGUUGAAGGUUGGGUAACACUAACUGGAGGACCGAACCGACUAAUGUUGAAAAAUUAGCGGAUGACUUGUGGCUGGGGGUGAAAGGCCAAUCAAACCGGGAGAUAGCUGGUUCUCCCCGAAAGCUAUUUAGGUAGCGCCUCGUGAACUCAUCUUCGGGGGUAGAGCACUGUUUCGGCUAGGGGGUCAUCCCGACUUACCAACCCGAUGCAAACUACGAAUACCGAAGAAUGUUAUCACGGGAGACACACGGCGGGUGCUAACGUCCGUCGUGAAGAGGGAAACAACCCAGACCGCCAGCUAAGGUCCCAAAGUCAUGGUUAAGUGGGAAACGAUGUGGGAAGGCACAGACAGCCAGGAUGUUGGCUUAGAAGCAGCCAUCAUUUAAAGAAAGCGUAAUAGCUCACUGGUCGAGUCGGCCUGCGCGGAAGAUGUAACGGGGCUAAACCAUGCACCGAAGCUGCGGCAGCGACGCUUAUGCGUUGUUGGGUAGGGGAGCGUUCUGUAAGCCACUUAUGUGUUGUUGGGUAGGGGAGCGUUCUGUAAGCCUGCGAAGGUGGCCUGUGAGGGCUGCUGGAGGUAUCAGAAGUGCGAAUGCUGACAUAAGUAACGAUAAAGCGGGUGAAAAGCCCGCUCGCCGGAAGACCAAGGGUUCCUGUCCAACGUUAAUCGGGGCAGGGUGAGUCGACCCCUAAGGCGAGGCCGAAAGGCGUAGUCGAUGGGAAACAGGUUAAUAUUCCUGUACUUGGUGUUACUGCGAAGGGGGGACGGAGAAGGCUAUGUUAGCCGGGCGACGGUUGUCCCGGUUUAAGCAUGUAGGCGGAGGUUCCAGGUAAAUCCGGUACCUUUUAACGCUGAGGUGUGAUGACGAGGCACUACGGUGCUGAAGUAACAAAUGCCCUGCUUCCAGGAAAAGCCUCUAAGCAUCAGGUAACAUUAAAUCGUACCCCAAACCGACACAGGUGGUCAGGUAGAGAAUACCAAGGCGCUUGAGAGAACUCGGGUGAAGGAACUAGGCAAAAUGGUGCCGUAACUUCGGGAGAAGGCACGCUGGUGUGUAGGUGAAGUCCCUGCGGAUGGAGCUGAGACCAGUCGAAGAUACCAGCUGGCUGCAACUGUUUAUUAAAAACACAGCACUGUGCAAACACGAAAGUGGACGUAUACGGUGUGACGCCUGCCCGGUGCCGGAAGGUUAAUUGAUGGGGUUAUCCGUAAGGAGAAGCUCUUGAUCGAAGCCCCGGUAAACGGCGGCCGUAACUAUAACGGUCCUAAGGUAGCGAAAUUCCUUGUCGGGUAAGUUCCGACCUGCACGAAUGGCGUAAUGAUGGCCAGGCUGUCUCCACCCGAGACUCAGUGAAAUUGAACUCGCUGUGAAGAUGCAGUGUACCCGCGGCAAGACGGAAAGACCCCGUGAACCUUUACUAUAGCUUGACACUGAACAUUGAGCCUUGAUGUGUAGGAUAGGUGGGAGGCUUUGAAGCGUGGACGCCAGUCUGCGUGGAGCCAACCUUGAAAUACCACCCUUUAAUGUUUGAUGUUCUAACGUAGGCCCCUAAUCGGGGUUGCGGACAGUGUCUGGUGGGUAGUUUGACUGGGGCGGUCUCCUCCCAAAGAGUAACGGAGGAGCACGAAGGUUAGCUAAUCCUGGUCGGACAUCAGGAGGUUAGUGCAAUGGCAUAAGCUAGCUUGACUGCGAGCGUGACGGCGCGAGCAGGUGCGAAAGCAGGUCAUAGUGAUCCGGUGGUUCUGAAUGGAAGGGCCAUCGCUCAACGGAUAAAAGGUACUCCGGGGAUAACAGGCUGAUACCGCCCAAGAGUUCAUAUCGACGGCGGUGUUUGGCACCUCGAUGUCGGCUCAUCACAUCCUGGGGCUGAAGUAGGUCCCAAGGGUAUGGCUGUUCGCCAUUUAAAGUGGUACGCGAGCUGGGUUUAGAACGUCGUGAGACAGUUCGGUCCCUAUCUGCCGUGGGCGCUGGAGAAUUGAGGGGGGCUGCUCCUAGUACGAGAGGACCGGAGUGGACGCAUCACUGGUGUUCGGGUUGUCAUGCCAAUGGCACUGCCCGGUAGCUAAAUGCGGAAGAGAUAAGUGCUGAAAGCAUCUAAGCACGAAACUUGCCCCGAGAUGAGUUCUCCCUGAGACUUUAAGUCUCCUGAAGGAACGUUGAAGACGACGACGUUGAUAGGCCGGGUGUGUAAGCGCAGCGAUGCGUUGAGCUAACCGGUACUAAUGAACCGUGAGGCUUAACCUU
This 2460-nucleotide ribosomal RNA is filed under the name Klebsiella variicola. RNAcentral describes it as "bacterial LSU rRNA". It matches the Rfam family "Bacterial large subunit ribosomal RNA", at positions 557 to 2925 of the family's 2925-position model. Lineage: Bacteria; Pseudomonadati; Pseudomonadota; Gammaproteobacteria; Enterobacterales; Enterobacteriaceae. The record is from RNAcentral.